UGGGUAACACAUGUGAAAUAUUACCAUAACAAGCAAAAGAGUACAAUCUAAAGAGCAUCUAGUGUUCCUCAACCACAUUCUAAGGAGGGUGUCUUAAAACCACUAGAUCUCCAGAAAACUAGUUACAAAUUAGUUGUGUAUAAAACUAUGACAUUUAUAUGCUUUCCCUGACCCCUAUAACAUAUAUAUCAUUUCCUUCAGUUCCUUUUGUAUAUGUGCAUUAACAAAUUCACCAUUUACAUUCUGAUGAUUAAAAAUUCUCUUGUUCCUAGCUAUCUAGGUGUAGAAGACCAAUGCACCCCAGGCUGCUGCGAUAACUUCCUUUUGAAACUGCUUCCACCUUUUCUUUUUGAUCCAUUUAAUUGUUUCGUAAACUCCUCUGGAUGAUAAUUGAACCCCUAGGCAUGUACACAUAAGGAUUUUCACAGCAGUAAUCCACUUACACUAAGUAAAUAAGUGAUGGUGUGUCUCCAACACACUCUCAUCACACAAACAAUAUAGGCGAAAAAAUAGUUUUAAAUUAUAAACCUCGUAUCUGAUUUUGUAAUUAAUGUAAGAACGAAGUUUGUCUAAUGAUAUAAUUGAGUUUUAUGUAUCUAUCUUUUUUCAUUCUUUUUGUGCCUAUGAAGAGGCUCACCUUAUAUCUCCAACAAGUGGUAUUAGAGUGUUGGUUCAAUCUUAAAAGGUGUAAACUUGAAGGUUUUGACAAUCUCCAUUGAAGGUGUGUUUCGGGGUUUGAGGACUUGUUAAGAGACUGACUAUUUGCAAAGAAAAGAGUGAAUUUCUUUGGAUUUGUAAAGAAAGAGCAACUUAUCGAAAUGGUGUCUUAAAAAUUUCACAAGAUGAAAAAGAAGACGUGAGAAGUCUUCCAUGAAAUUGUGUUUGCAAUAUCUAGAAGUUAUAAUAAGGAUAUGGAGAAUGAAUUGCCUAUAUUAUUGAGGGAUGCACACAAAGAUGUUGAAAAUAAAAGUCCAAUUGAUACUGUAUCAGGUUGAAUUCUCAAGCACUACUAUUUGUCUUUCAAACUAGGAAUGUUUUGAUUUAUCUCUAACAUGCAUAGACAGUUACUGAAGAAGCAACAAGUUACUAUAGACUAGUAUUGAUUACUAGAUGUAUCAACAACACAUGCGCAAAAAAUCAUAUUACAAAACUAAAGAAUCGUUUGGUAGGAUGUAUUACGGAAAGUAAUACAUGUAUAAGUAUUAAUUUUAUCUUGUUUGAUAGUAUUUUUAACAUAUAUAUAAAUAUUUUUAGAAAUAAGUAUUUCUAAAAAUGAACUGACAGGUAUAAUUUUCUUGUUUACUGUCAGUGGAGAGAAGUUAAUCUCUAUUGAUAUUAGUAAUAUAUCCGAGUUACAAAUACAUGAACCAAUAUGGAUAAAGACAAAAUUAUCUUUCCUCACCAUUACUAAUACACCUCAUUAUGUACUAUUUUUAUAUAUCCUACUAAACGAUCCCUACGAUUAAACCGCACAGGCACCUAAAGCUAGUUUUUAUCGUACUCUAAUAAACUCAUGCCAUAAAACACACUACAUAACUUAUACAUUAUUGAGUUGAUCCUAUAAGAAAAUAUGGAUCCCCCACAACUUCGACUAAGCAAAAAUAUAAUUACAGUAAUAAAUAGGGAUGGGCAUAAAUAUCGGAAAAUCGAAAAACCGAACCAAACUAUUUUGGUUCUUCGGUGUCUGUUUUUUUGGUCGAAACUUCGGUUCUUCGAUUCGGAGUUCGGUGUAAGGGUCUCGAAACUACGGUGCACCGAAGAACCGAAGUUUUAUUUUUAAAUUUAUUUAAUAAAACUUAUAUAUUUUGACUCAAAAUAUUUACCUGGCCCAUUUCAAUUUUUAAAUUUUGGAGCCUAAACAAAAAAGUAAAGGGCACCCAGCCUAAACAAAACUAUUUUGAUGUUAUUACUUUUUAUUGUUAGACUGUUAGUUGUUACUUUGAAGUUUGAAAUUUGAAUUGUUAAUUUAUCAUAUUCCCUUUUUAUUUUUAUUUUUAUUCACACCAAAAAACCAAUUUAAAAACACCGAACUAAACCGAACCAAAGUAGAAAAAAUCGAACCGAACCGAUCUAGUUUAAUUUGAAAUACGAUGCACACUUUUCUAAAACCGAAUACAGAAGAACCGAACCGAAAUUUGAUUAAAUCGAACCGAACUCCCACCCCUAGUAAUAAAUACUUGAAAAGUAAAAUAUAAGAUGCUUCUAGUCUUCACCAGUAUAACUAUAACGCACCUGAGAAAAUAAGCGACGGUUUUUCCACAAUGCUGAGUCGUGAUUAGAUGCCUUGUCUUCCAAAAACUUUUGAUCUGAAAAUUCCAGAUGAAAAAGCAAUUAAAGUAUGAUCACGAUAUACAAGUUGUAAUAAACUACUUGAGGGAAGAAAAUAAAAUAUGACGCAAAAUUAUCGAAAACCAAAAUCCGUACAGAAGAAAAGGUGAAAAUUGCCUUUGGCUGUCGAAAAAAAACCCUGAAAAUUAAGCUAAAAUGGAAAAGUAUACGACACAAACAGCGAAUCGGUGUCUGAAUCAACGCCAUUAAAAACGCGAGAACAAGCACUGAUGAGAAGAAAACCUUUAGCAAACAGCAUCGGAAAAAAUUGAUCGUACAAUUCGAUUCGAAGAAGAUCGGAGAGAUGAACGAACUACCGAAGAAAAGUGAGUGAUUAUUGUGGUAUUUGAUGCAAAAAUGGAGAUGAGAGACAUGAAUACGUACCUGUAACACGAGUUCGAUUCUAGAAAUGGAAGGAGAGAUAGAAAGAGAGAGAGGGAAGCGGAAUGGUGUAGAGAGAG
Molecule: long non-coding RNA, 2789 nt
Filed under: Solanum tuberosum (potato)
Lineage: Eukaryota; Viridiplantae; Streptophyta; Magnoliopsida; Solanales; Solanaceae
Description: long non-coding RNA (STUB_LNC005169)
Source: RNAcentral